GCCCACAGCCAUAUCACCCUGCAGCCCAAGACUGGUUGCCCACUGAAGCAAAGCAGGGUUGAGCCUGGUCAGUACCUGGAUGGGAGACCUCUUGGGAAAACUAGGUUGCUGUUGGAA
Molecule: ribosomal RNA, 117 nt
Organism: Sinocyclocheilus anshuiensis
Lineage: Eukaryota; Metazoa; Chordata; Actinopteri; Cypriniformes; Cyprinidae
Source: Ensembl